This is a non-coding RNA of Triticum aestivum (bread wheat), 106 nucleotides long. Lineage: Eukaryota; Viridiplantae; Streptophyta; Magnoliopsida; Poales; Poaceae. The record is from Rfam.
UAUGUACUCCCUUCAUCCGAAAAUACUUGUCAUCAAAAUGGAUAAAAAGAAAUGUAUCUAAAAAUCCAUUUUGAUGACAAGUAUUUUCGGACGGAGGGAGUAUCUU